This 197-nucleotide unclassified non-coding RNA is filed under the name uncultured fungus. Its description in RNAcentral is "sequence contains ITS1, 5.8S rRNA gene". The record is from RNAcentral. Lineage: Eukaryota; Fungi.
AUGAAUGAACUGACUGAGCGCGCUCCUCGGAGCAGCUCUGGUCGUCAACACCUUGUGAAUUGUGAAUGUCUUUGGCAAGUGAUGCAUUUCGAGUAAUCGGAAUGCAGAGUUUCGCUCGGUUUGAGCGAAAGCUUGCCUAUGAAUUUUAAACUAUUGCCUUUUGAGCCUGACCAAUUUUUAUCAGAGAAAUACUGAAA